GGGGGAGAGAGAGAGAGAGAGAGAUAGUUUGUGACAUUCAGAUAUCACACCAACACUGUUUGUGAUCGUCAGAUAUCACACCAACACUGUUUGUGAUCGUCAGAUAUCACGCCAUCACUGUUUGUGAUUGUCAGAUAUCACGCCAACACUGUUUGUGAUCGUCAGAUAUCACACCAACACUGUUUGUGACAUUCAGAUAUCACGCCAACACUGUUUGUGAUCGUCAGAUAUCACACCAACACUGUUUGUGAUCGUCAGAUAUCACGCCAACACUGUUUGUGAUCGUCAGAUAUCAUGCCAUCACUGUUCGUGACAUUCAGAUAUCACACCAUCACUGUUUGUGAUCGUCAGAUAUCACGCCAUCACUGUUUGUGACAUUCAGAUAUCACCCCAUCACUGUUUGUGAUUGUCAGAUAUCACGCCAUCACUGUUUGUGAUUGUCAGAUAUCACACCAUCACUGAUUGUGAUCGUCAGAUAUCACACCAACACUGUUCGUGAUCGUCAGAUAUCACACCAACACUGUUUGUAGUUGGAGUUAUAGACAAUACACAACAGACAACAGGUGCAGGAGUAGAGGCCAUUCGGCCCUUCGAGCCUGCACCAUUCGCCAUUCAAUAUGAUCAUGGCUGAUCAUCCAACUCAGUAUCCCGUACCUGCCUUCUCUCCAUACCCCCUGAUCCCUUUAGCCACAAGGGCCACAUCUAACUCCCUCUUAAAUAUAGCCAAUGAACUGUGUGGCCUCAACUACCCUCUGCGGCAGAGAAUUCCACAGAUUCACCACUCUCUGCGUGAAAAAAGUUCUUCUCAUCUCGGUUUUAAAGGAUUUCCCCCUUCUUCCAAAUGGCCUAAAUCACUCAAGACUUUGGAAAUCCUCUUCAUUAUGCACAACACCCCCUAUCUUGGUAUCAUCUGCAUACUUACUAAUCCAAUUUACCACACCUUCAUCCAGAUCAUUGAUGUACAUGCCAAACAACAAACGACCCAACACAGAUCCCCGAGGCACCCCACUAGUCACCUGCCUCCAACCUGACAAACAGCCCUCCACCAUUACCCUCUGGCAUCUCCCAUUCAGCCACUGUUGAAUCCAUCUUGCUACUCCUGCAUUUAUACCCAACAGUUGAACCCCCUUAACCAACCUUCCAUGACGAACCUUGUCAAAGGCCUUACUAAAGUCCAUAUAGACAACAUCCACUGCUUUACCCUCGUCAAUUUCCCUAGUAACCUCUUCAAAAAAUUCAAGAAGAUUAGUCAAACAUGACCUUCCAGGCACAAAUCCAUGUUGACUGUUCCUAAUCAGACCCUGUUUAUCCAGAUGCUUAUAUAUAUUAUCUCUAAGUAUCUUUUCCAUUAAUUUGUCCGCCACUGAAGUCAAAUUAUAGGGUCUAUAAUUGCUAGGUUUACUCUUAGAACACUUUUUAAACAAUGGAACAACAUGCACAAUACGCCAAUCCUCAGGGACUAUUCCCGUUUCUAAUGACAUUUGAAAUAUUUCUGUCAUAGCCCCGGCUAUUUCUACACUAACUUCCCUCAAUGUCCUAGGGAAUAUCCUGUCAGGACCUGGAGACUUAUCCACUUUUAUAUUUUUCAAAAGUGUCAAUACUUCUUUUACUUUGAAACUCAUAGUAUCCAUAGCUACUCUACUAGUUUCCCUUACCUCACAUCAUUCAAUAUCCUUCUCCUUGGUGAAGGGACCGAAGAAAAGAAAUGGUUCAAUAUCUCCCCCAUCUCCUUUGGCUCUGCAGAUAGCUGUCCACUCUGUCUCUCCAAUGGACCAAUUUUAUCCCUCGUUAUGCUUUUGCUAUUAAUAGCUGUAGAAACCCUUUGGAUUUACUUUCACCUUACUUGCCAAAGCAACCUCAUAUCUUUUAGGUUUUCUAAUUUCUUUCUUAAGAUUAUUUUUACAUUCCUUAUACUCCUCAAGCACCUCAUUUACUUUAUGCUCCCUAUAAUUAUUGUAGAUCUCCCUCUUUUUCCGAACAAGAUGUCCAAUUUCCCUUGAAAACCAGGGCACUUUCCAAUUUUUACUGUUUCCUUUCAACCGAACAGGAACAUAAAGAUUCUGUACUCUUAAAAUUUCCCCAUUAAAUGUCCUCCAUUUCUCUUCUACAUCUUUCCCAUAAAACAAAAUGUCCCAGUUCACUCCUUUUAAAUAACUUCACAUCUCAUUAAAGUUAGCCUUUCUCCAAUCAAAAAUCUCAACCCUAGGUCCAGUUCUGACCCUCUCCAUAAUUAUAUUGAAACUAAUGGUGUGAUCACUCGAGCCAAAGUGCUCCCCAACGCAUAUCUCCGCCACCUGUCCCGUCUCAAAAGCUUGUAUAGUCUCCGAAAAUGUCGGAUGAAUUUUGUUUGUUUGAAUGGUUCAGGAAUUGUAUAUAUUUAUCAAUGAAUAAAGUCUAUUUUGAAAUUUAAAAAAAAAAUCUGUUCUUAUCAGUUUAAUAUCUGAUACGUCCCUUAUCUAGGGACCAUAUAUUAAAUUGAUUUUUGGAACAGGGAGAUGGAAUAGGGGCUUGCUCCGUCCACUCCACGCAUCGACCCAGUAUUGCAGUGCCUCUGGGAACGGUGCACUUCCCUUUUGGGAGAUUUUCAAAGUUCAAAAGAAAAGACAAAAAUUCCUCCUCACGCUUGCUCAAAAGCUGCGUGUCUGCCUGCUGCCCUCUCUCACUCUGCGUCUGCGUGCGUGCGUGUCUGUGUUGACGGACUGCUCAAGUCAAAUGCUCAAGUCAACCUUCCUUUAUUUCACCAGUGGAUACUUUCAAGGGAAAAGAGGACGCAUUUCAACCAAAACUUCCUGAAGGAGAAAAAAAUCUUCAGCAAAUUCUUCAAAGUCACAAUUGUCGGCUCUGCCAAUCAAGUCGCCACAAUCUGGGUGAUGUUGGUCUGAAGAGAUGAGACUGAGCUGCACGUCAACCACAGCGAGUACCACACCGCUAAGAUGCUGGAUGUUUAUUCGGGCCGGGGCUACCACAACCUGGAAUUUGACAGCAAGUUCACUGUCACCGUCAACCCAAGCGGAGUGGUUAUGCUCUACGUGUAUCCAGGAGAGCAGCAGCAGCAGCCGAACAGAAAGGCCGAAGCCUACCCAGUGUUGCUGUGAAGGGGCCUCCAUCACCACGGCAACUGAAGGCCCAAAGCCUGUUGCUGUGAAGGAGCCUCCAUCACCACGGCAACAGAAGGCCCAAAGUCCACCCUCUGCUGCACUGAAGCAGCUUUAAUCGCUAUGGAGGUAUCUGGUCUUCAAUUCCACUUUGGUGUAUUAACUCUUUGAAUGCACAUUUGAUUUGCAAAUUGAGCAUAUUUCAUGCUUUUAUGAUUGGGCUUUUCAGAAGGGGUUGCUAUUCCCUUUUGCCUCUUUUGAUGGUUUAUGUUUCAUUCAGCCUUCCUGUGAUUAUGCUGCUUCUGCUGGUCAAAAGGCUGAGCAGUCAAUUUGGAAUUUCUGCACUAGAUUUCAUGGUCACUGCUGAACAGCGAAUGUUCAGACUCUCAGGUAAAAGUACUCAUCUCUAUAGGGAGGCUAUUCAGCCCAUCUUAGGUCGGACCAACCCCAAUUCCUCCAUACUCAUGUGUAGAAAGGAACUUCACAUGCUGCUUUCAACCAAAGAUAGACACAAAGCCGGCGUAACCUCUGUGGGUCAGACAGCAUCUCUGGCGGAAAGGAAUUGGUGACGUUUCAGGUCGAGACCCUUUUCAGACUGAGAGGAAGUCAGAUGAAGGGUCUCAACCUGAAACGUCAUCUAUUCCCUUUUCUCCAGAGACGCUGUCUGACCGGCUGAGGUUACUCCAGCUUUUUGUGCCUAUCCUACCGUCCAGUAAAUGGGUACAAUCAAACCCUGCACAAGUAUAACAGAUGGGGCAAAGAGCAUCAUUAACUCAGUGCAGAAAUUGGUGUUACAGCUGCAGCGAAAAGUACAGAUAAAAAAGCCACUAGACAUGAUGGCGUGAUAGCACAUUGGGCGUUUUUCACUUCACUUAAAGGGUGAUAGCUGUAAGUAUGAGGGAACAUAAUUGCUAUCCUUGAACCAUGUCUAUCCUUGAAGCUGAAGACACAGAAUGCAGGCAAUGGGUCCCUUGAACUGGUAUUGUUUGAAAGAGUUGACUGUUUGUUAACCACACAUGGAUUCUGCACAUUUUUCCAAUUCCAUUAUUUGUCUGGGAAGGAACUGCAGAUGCUGGUUUACACCACGGACAGACACAAAAUGCUGGAGUAAUUCAGCUGGUCAGGCAGCAUCUCUUGAGAAAAAGAAUGGGUGUCGUAUCAGGUCAGAACCCUUCUUCAGACUGAAGAAGGAUUCCGACCCGAAGCAUCAUCUAUUCUUUUUCUCCGGAGGUGCUGCCUGACCCGCUAAGUUACUCCAGCAUUUUGUGUCUAUCCGUGGUGUAAACCAGCAUCUGCAGUUCCUUCCCAGACAAAUAAUUUUGUGUCUACAUUUUUUUUUUAAUCCCAAGUUUCCCAAAACCUCCAGUUGAGGCUAACUCCCGUAUUACAUAAAUCUUCUCUUUACUGAACAAGACCCUGGGAUUAAUUGUGAAUUAUCCCACACCAUUGCAGCCACAUUGUGGUGGUGUUGAAAGAUUAAAUGGUGGUGGGUCGAUGGCCAAAGGGUGAGUUUACUUUGGAUAGCAAAAAUGAGCUUAUUGUUUUUAAAUCAACUUGUUGCUUCUGUGAAUUUGUAUUUUUCAAUAAAAUGUUACCAUGUUCUGUU
Leucoraja erinaceus (little skate) is the source of this 4701-nucleotide long non-coding RNA. RefSeq lists it as uncharacterized. The transcript is spliced from 2 exons. Lineage: Eukaryota; Metazoa; Chordata; Chondrichthyes; Rajiformes; Rajidae. The record is from RefSeq and is a predicted model, not a curated record.